CCUACGGGAGGCAGCAGUAGGGAAUCUUCCACAAUGGACGAAAGUCUGAUGGAGCAACGCCGCGUGAGUGAAGAAGGGUUUCGGCUCGUAAAGCUCUGUUGGUAGGGAAGAAAGAGUGAGGUAGUAACUGGCCGUUAUUUGACGGUAAUUACUUAGAAAGUCACGGCUAACUACGUGCCAGCAGCCGCGGUAAUACGUAGGUGGCAAGCGUUGUCCGGAUUUAUUGGGCGUAAAGCGAGUGCAGGCGGUUCAAUAAGUCUGAUGUGAAAGCCUUGGGCUUAACCGGGGAAUUGCAUCAGAUACUGUUGAACUUGAGUGCUGAAGAGGAGGGUAGAACUCCAUGUGUAGCGGUGGAAUGCGUAGAGAUGUGGAAGAACACCAGUGGCGAAGGCGGCUCUCUGGUC
This 404-nucleotide ribosomal RNA is filed under the name uncultured bacterium. Its description in RNAcentral is "partial 16S ribosomal RNA". It matches the Rfam family "Bacterial small subunit ribosomal RNA", at positions 338 to 734 of the family's 1533-position model. The record is from RNAcentral.